Long non-coding RNA from Cucumis sativus (cucumber), 761 nucleotides. RefSeq lists it as uncharacterized. The transcript is spliced from 3 exons. The record is from RefSeq and is a predicted model, not a curated record. NCBI's taxonomy places the organism in Eukaryota, Viridiplantae, Streptophyta, Magnoliopsida, Cucurbitales, Cucurbitaceae.
AUCUGCAAUUUCAUGGUACGAUACAAGAAUUAAUGUAUAAUUUUUUUUUUUUGGCGAUUUUGUAAAUUGGGGAUUAAAUAUUUUUUAAAAAAACUAACCCCAUCUGUUGCUAAAACAAUGAAUUCGUCUUUUCUUGUGAGUUUUCUGUAAGAGACUUGAGGUGUUGAGAUGAGACCGUAAUCUUUGAGGCAAAAAUCUCCUACGGAUCUUGACAUGGCUAGACCUGGAUAAUCUCCAUCUGAGAACCGCCCGGGAGUCACCUACGUUUGCAACCACCAAAUGCUCUCCCUGAUGAUCAAAAUGGUCAAGGGAUUGAAUAAAAAUUGGAAAACAUAGGAUGUUAUCUUCAAGGAAAUUCACCUGUUUGAUAAUGGUCACGGCUGUUGUUCCACUACAGAAACAAUCAAUAGAUGAAUCCAAGCUGAGUUCUUGAUCAACUUCUUUGAAAGAUUCUUCAAGAGCAGCUUCCCAUUUAGAAACCAACCGAUUUCGUUGUUUUCCACCAUUGUUAUCUGGUUCAACACAAGCUUCAGAAACCACGCCAUUUUCAGGUUGACAUAGCUUCUUCUUGAUUGAUUUAGAGAGCUUCGUGGGUAGAACGUCUCGUGCAUGGCGAGCAACCCUAUGACCAGAUGGACCAUGACCAUCAAAAACUCCACAAAAGAUCAAAUCUUUCUCUCCUGAGAAAUCCUAUCAUCAUCCAUAAUAAUCAAAUUAAGGGACAACAAACAAAAUAGUAUAGAGUUAUUCCUUUGUUUUUA